RNAcentral lists this long non-coding RNA (316 nucleotides) under Mytilus galloprovincialis (Mediterranean mussel). Lineage: Eukaryota; Metazoa; Mollusca; Bivalvia; Mytilida; Mytilidae. The record is from RNAcentral.
AGAUUGUUCCCUGAUGAGGAAAGGUGAAGACGAUGACUGGUAUUUGAUACUCUGAGACUCAUUCCUGCACAAUAGGAAAAGGGCAACUAUUGUAACAGAUCCAGAAAGUCUAUUAUUAGCUGAUUGUGAUAGCACGGGUUUGAAUGACACUGACCGACGGUAAACAUAAUUAUUACUAUUUAAUUCUAUUAAUAGAAAUAAACAUCUACUUAAAAAGAUAAAAGUAAGAACAAACAAAAGUCAAAACAGGACACAGACAGUACGAUAAAAAAAUUAAAACUAAAGACUGGACAAUAGAACUAACUUCCACCUCCAC